This 1433-nucleotide long non-coding RNA is filed under the name Homo sapiens (human). Its description in RNAcentral is "non-protein coding lnc-ACTL7B-2:1". Lineage: Eukaryota; Metazoa; Chordata; Mammalia; Primates; Hominidae. The record is from RNAcentral.
AUCAAAUGUUUGGUCCAAUAGGCCUUUUGUGAGGUCUGAGCCUUAGUCCCACCUGGGACCUAGUUGCCUCCCAGGGACAGGGGUCUGUUGACCACCUGUGGCCAUUUCUGACACAUGGUAUCAACUGGUCCAGCCUGGCUUUCCUGUCUCUGCCUCUCAUGACACUCUGCCCCUUACUGGAACACCCAUAUGUGUGUUCACCUUGUAUUCCCACCAUCCACUGAGCCUUACGUCUGUGGACACAAUGCUUUGCCUGUGCCUUGCCUACCUGCGUGUGCAUCCACUGUCAUCUGGACCAUUCCUCCCCCAGAAUCUUCCAUAAUCUUUAUAGGCCUGGCUGGAUUCAUCUCUGACCCUUCUCUGCCACCUGAUCUUCUAGCCAGCAUCAGACGCAACUUGGUCAUCUUUUCUUAAAUACGACCAGCUAGUGGGACAGAUGUUGAGUCACUGUCUGGGAAAAUAGGGCCUAGGGGCAUCUGUGAAAGUUCAUCACGUUUCAGUGGGGCUUUCUGCUGGCUUUCACAGAAGAAUGCACCAAUAGUGCAGGCCCAGCCACAGAUCAGAACCACAGAGAGUGCGUAUGUCAUAGCCUAGGAGCUACACUUGAUGUUUUGGAAUUUAUCUUGAUCGUUAGAAAGCCACAGAAAAUUGUAGUACAUAUUAUGCUUCACAGCAUAAUCAACUAAACCAAACAAAUUUUCAGUGGUAAUAAACCAAGAAGACUUAGCCAAGAAUUGGUAUGAGUAUGGACACUUCCCUAAGAUGAUCUUGCAUGAUAUUUGUCUCCCUCUCAUACUGGCUCGGAGUGCCCCAGUUGUAUUUCUGACAGUAGUGCUACCUACAUGGCUGUGUUCCUUACAUGAAACAUGCAGGUUAUAGACCCCAUCAUACUCAGCGAUGUGGGAUUUAACUACACUGCAGCUAUAGAACUUGGAGACAGGAACACUUUGCGAAUUGUCUCCAUUUUACUCCAUAGCCUCAGGCUGGUGGUCCACCUGACAGGAGGUGCAAAUGACUAAGAAUGUCUUUUUUUUUCUUUCUGUCAAGCUAUUCUUUAUUUCAGGGAGAGGGCAGGGGAAGGGGGCUCAGUCUUUCUUGGCAGCAGCUUUCCUCAUGGCGGCCAGUACGUUGCUCAGCUCCUCCUGCUUCCUCUUGGCGCGGAUGUGCAUCCCCACCCUUUUCUUGAUAAAUUUGAGGGCCUGUUUGUCCUUGGAGACCUUCAGUAGCUCCAUGGCACGCCGCUUGUACGGGGCAAAGCCACACACCUCCCGAAUCAUGUCCCACACGAACUUGGUGUGUUUGGUCAGAAUUGACCCCUCUUGGUUUCCAUUUAUUUGUGUUAGUGUUUGGCAUAUACAAAGGGCUCAAUGCUGUGUCUCUCUCUUCCAGAGGUGUCCUCCUGUCCUCUUUUCAAGGUUUUUGAUUAAAAAUUU